Molecule: ribosomal RNA, 380 nt
Filed under: uncultured eukaryote
Lineage: Eukaryota
Description: partial 18S ribosomal RNA
Rfam family: Eukaryotic small subunit ribosomal RNA
Source: RNAcentral
CAAUAGCGUAUAUUAAAGUUGUUGCAGUUAAAAAGCUCGUAGUUGGACUUGUGGCGUACGGUGUGUUCCGGGCACUUGUUGUCUGAGUAACCUGCUGUUGCCAUCCUUGGGUGGAACCUGUGUGGCAUUAGGUUGUCGUGCAGGGGAUGCCCAUCAUUUACUGUGAAAAAAUUAGAGUGUUCAAAGCAGGCUUAUGCCGUUGAAUAUAUUAGCAUGGAAUAAUGAGAUAGGACUUUUUUGCUAUUUUGUUGGUUUGCGCAAAGAGGUAAUGAUUAAUAGGGACAGUUGGGGGUAUUCGUAUUCCAUUGUCAGAGGUGAAAUUCUUGGAUUUUUGGAAGACGAACUACUGCGAAAGCAUUUACCAAGGACGUUUUCAUUAA